GAUCUAGCUGCGGUUGAGGCUCCMGCUAUAAAUGGAUAAAAUCUUGGUCUUAAUGUAUACGAGUUUUUGAACGUAAAGGAGCAAUAAUUAAUUUAUUGUUCUAUCAAGAGGGUUAAUAUUGCUCCUUUACUUUUUAGUAGUUUCAUACAUCAAUUUUGUAUUUACUUCAACAUUCUUUACCMUUGUUUUAAGAUAAGAAAAAAAAAAAAAAUAUKGGAGUUUCAUACUUUUUGUUUCUUUUUUACUAAUUUUUUUUWUACGUUUUUCUCVGCAAUCUUUAUUUAUUUUUUGAAAUGAAAAAUAAAAAAAAAUGAGAAAUGAAGGUUUUAAUUCUDGUCUUUUCUAUCUUAGAAGACGAGUCAAAACUUCAAAAUA
Molecule: unclassified non-coding RNA, 375 nt
Filed under: Archidendron hendersonii
Lineage: Eukaryota; Viridiplantae; Streptophyta; Magnoliopsida; Fabales; Fabaceae
Description: partial miscellaneous RNA
Source: RNAcentral